Molecule: long non-coding RNA, 481 nt
Filed under: Drosophila guanche
Lineage: Eukaryota; Metazoa; Arthropoda; Insecta; Diptera; Drosophilidae
Source: RNAcentral
CUAAUGCGAUGGAGGCGGACUGUUAAAUAUUCCAGCACAGUUUUCGGAUACGCAUUUGGUGAUGUGUAAUUUAAGGCAGAUUUCCAGCCACUUGCAGCGGAUAGGCUGAGACAAGCACAUCCACCGGAUGUCUGGGCCAGAAGAAAACCCGAUGCAGGUUCAGCCAUAGAAAGAGGCCGGGAAAGAGGGGGAGCGCGACUAGACGGAGAUGGAAAAGAGCUGCCAGGAACAGGAGCCGAAAUCGGUUUGUAAUUUGAAUUUGAUUUUGGCAAACAAUUUUCGGAAUGCGGAAAUUGAAAGCGCAUGCUGGGAAGCCGUUGCCUUUUCCACAGACAGCGAGCGACUUUGCCGUGGUUACGUAAUUACAAACGGAAGGCUGAUGGGUAAAUCCAACCAUCCACACCGACCAUCCAACCCUCCAUCUGCUACUUCUGUCGCUUCGCUCUCUUUCUCUUAAAAUAAACACACAGCAACAAGCGGC